AGUGCGGACUGAGGCGCGGCACGGAGAGGAGGCGUGGAAGGGGAUCCCGGUGAGGAGAGCCACUGGGAGAGUUCGCUCAAUUCCUGAGGUUUUAAGUGCAGUUCACUGCUAGGGUGCCGACUCACUGAGCACGCAGGGGCAGAGGAAUUCAUUCUGAGUUGGUUGCACCGAAGAAAUAAAGCUCGAGCAGCUUGUUUUCCCCGGCGCCGUCCAAGGGGAGGGAAUAGGGAAUUGGGGUGGCUGGGGUCGGGGGUGAGGGCGGAUCCCUUGGACCGGGAUUAAAGAAAAGAAAAAGUCUGAACCGGCGGUCGGCCUCCUGGGAUUUUAUGGUGGGUGCUUCGCUGCGUCUCAGUGGUUGUUGAGCGCUCGAUUAAAACUGCCUGGCUGGGGCCGGGAGCAGUGGCUAACGCCUGUAAUCCCAGCACUUGGGAGGCCGAGGCGGCCGGAUCACGACGUUAAGACAUCGAGACCAUCCUGGCCAACAUGGUGAAAGCCCGUCUCUACCAAAGAUACAAAAAUUAGCUGGGCGUGGUGGCGCGUGCCUGUAGUCUCAGCUACUCGGGAGGCUGAGGCAGGAGAAUCGCUUGAACCCGGGAGGUGGAGGUUGCAGUGAGCCGAGAUCACGCCACUACACUCCAGCCUGGGCGACUGAGCGAGACUCCGUCUCAAAAAAAACAAAAAACAAAAAAACCCCCACUGCCUGGCGGGCGGAGAGAACCUGAGCCCAGGACGAGGCCGACCGUUUUCCCGCGCCGCGUGAGGGCGGCUGGCGGGACGGCAGACAGGGGUGUGGCAGCGACUUGUCCUCCGAGGAGCCUGCAUUUAAACCCUUCCUGCCUCACUCUUCCUUUUUCCUGUUUGUCCUGCCGCUUUAAACUCUGGUUUCGCCUUCCUGUUCAUUCCAUUGCUUAUUUUAGGUCGCAAGUGCUUUAUCCAGUGCUUUGAGUUUUUGACUGGAAAACCCAUAAUAUAAUCAGUCAAAACCCACACGUUGAAACACCAUAAAGUCACCCAGUCUCGGUCACCCUGGCACACACGGGGUUGUGAUCGUGACCUAGUCAUGUUUCUGACUCCGCUCAAUGGAAUGGAAUGAUUUUCUUUGGCUGUGCUGAGGUUAAUAUUGGAGGCAGAAACCCUCCGAGAAGGUAGAUGAAAACGAGCGCGAUUCACUUCCUCCUGUUUAACAGGAAUGUGAGGACAGGUCUGGAAAAUACCCUGGCACCAGUUAACAGGUUUAAAAGGGAGUUUCAUUCAUAUAAAUGAUCAAGAUUGUGACUGGCAUAUACAGUGGAAAAGGAAGAAGGGCAAGCGUUUUACUAUAAUUUGGAACCUGAACACCUAAGUUACAAAGGCAGAAGAUCUGGCAGCUUCAACACACUUGUUUCAUUACCUUCACACCCAGGGAGGGCAAGAAGCAACAGCAAGGAAUGACAGCUCUGCAGCUCUGCCCCAGGAGAGGAAGGAGAUAUUAGGGAACUGGGCUGGAGAAAAGUGCUGGAUAUUUUUCAUUCUCCCUAAUUUUAAAAACGAUCACAUAUGGGUCAUACACCCCUUUUACUACCUAUAUGCCCAUCCUGCCACCUCUAAGACAUAAAGUUCCAUAGCCAGAGAUACGGGACUGGUGAAAUGAAGAUGGCUUAUGAUGAAACCUGCUGCCUUCUUAAAAUUGCAACCACUGCACCUUUUCUGGAAGCCAGAUCAAGUUUCAAACUUGCAGCACCAAUGAGGCAUUUGAAGAUGAUUCGCUUAGCCUCAGUGAAAGUCUAGAGAGCCUAGCAUCACAGUCCCAAUUCAGCACCCCAAUCUCUGACUUACAAUUACCUCUGGAUCUCAAGGAAGAUUUAUGUAUAUAUGUUUCCUUUUAUCUAUUUCUAUGUCUUAUAGGUUGAAUGUAUGUAUGCAUAUGGAUUUGAGGAUUAUAGAGUAUUUUAAAAGUCUAAAAUGUAAUGAAAGGAUUCUUACAUUUUAACAUCAGAAUAUCAGAAUCUAUUGAAUACUCAUAAUGUUCCUAACACUGGAUACAGCAUUGAAAUGGAGGGUGGAGAAGGAUGGUGUACAAUAGAGAUAACUGUAUAUGAGGGAUUAAAUUUGAAACCAAGAAACAAUUUGAGGAGUUUAAUAAACUAUAUUGAGGCCGGG
This is a long non-coding RNA of Pan troglodytes (chimpanzee), 2139 nucleotides long. RefSeq lists it as uncharacterized. The record is from RefSeq and is a predicted model, not a curated record. NCBI's taxonomy places the organism in Eukaryota, Metazoa, Chordata, Mammalia, Primates, Hominidae. The transcript is spliced from 5 exons.